Molecule: ribosomal RNA, 479 nt
Filed under: uncultured bacterium
Lineage: Bacteria
Description: partial 16S ribosomal RNA
Rfam family: Bacterial small subunit ribosomal RNA
Source: RNAcentral
GAUGAACGCUAGCGGGAGGCCUAACACAUGCAAGCCGAGCGGUAUUGUUUCUUCGGAACUGAGAGAGCGGCGUACGGGUGCGGAACACGUGUGCAACCUGCCUUUAUCUGGGGGAUAGCCUUUCGAAAGGAAGAUUAAUACUCCAUAACAUAUUGAACGGCAUCGUUCGAUAUUGAAAGCUCCGGCGGAUAGAGAUGGGCACGCGCAAGAUUAGCUAGUUGGUGAGGUAACGGCUCACCAAGGCGAUGAUAUUUAGGGGGCCUGAGAGGGUGAUCCCCCACACUGGUACUGAGACACGGACCAGACUACUACGGGAGGCAGCAGUGAGGAAUAUUGGUCAAUGGGUGCAAGCCUGAACCAGCCAUCCCGCGUGAAGGACGACUGCCCUAUGGGUUGUAAACUUCUUUUGUAUAGGGAUAAACCUGCCCUCGUGAGGGUAGCUGAAGGUACUAUACGAAUAAGCACCGGCUAACUCCGUG